RNAcentral lists this ribosomal RNA (853 nucleotides) under Staphylococcus warneri. RNAcentral's name for it is "bacterial SSU rRNA". It matches the Rfam family "Bacterial small subunit ribosomal RNA", at positions 72 to 908 of the family's 1533-position model. Lineage: Bacteria; Bacillati; Bacillota; Bacilli; Caryophanales; Staphylococcaceae. The record is from RNAcentral.
UAAGGAGCUUGCUCCUUUGACGUUAGCGGCGGACGGGUGAGUAACACGUGGAUAACCUACCUAUAAGACUGGGAUAACUUCGGGAAACCGGAGCUAAUACCGGAUAACAUAUUGAACCGCAUGGUUCAAUAGUGAAAGGCGGCUUUGCUGUCACUUAUAGAUGGAUCCGCGCCGUAUUAGCUAGUUGGUAAGGUAACGGCUUACCAAGGCAACGAUACGUAGCCGACCUGAGAGGGUGAUCGGCCACACUGGAACUGAGACACGGUCCAGACUCCUACGGGAGGCAGCAGUAGGGAAUCUUCCGCAAUGGGCGAAAGCCUGACGGAGCAACGCCGCGUGAGUGAUGAAGGUCUUCGGAUCGUAAAACUCUGUUAUCAGGGAAGAACAAAUGUGUAAGUAACUGUGCACAUCUUGACGGUACCUGAUCAGAAAGCCACGGCUAACUACGUGCCAGCAGCCGCGGUAAUACGUAGGUGGCAAGCGUUAUCCGGAAUUAUUGGGCGUAAAGCGCGCGUAGGCGGUUUUUUAAGUCUGAUGUGAAAGCCCACGGCUCAACCGUGGAGGGUCAUUGGAAACUGGAAAACUUGAGUGCAGAAGAGGAAAGUGGAAUUCCAUGUGUAGCGGUGAAAUGCGCAGAGAUAUGGAGGAACACCAGUGGCGAAGGCGACUUUCUGGUCUGUAACUGACGCUGAUGUGCGAAAGCGUGGGGAUCAAACAGGAUUAGAUACCCUGGUAGUCCACGCCGUAAACGAUGAGUGCUAAGUGUUAGGGGGUUUCCGCCCCUUAGUGCUGCAGCUAACGCAUUAAGCACUCCGCCUGGGGGAGUACGACCGCAAGGUUGAAACUCAAAGGA